Molecule: ribosomal RNA, 420 nt
Filed under: Triticum aestivum (bread wheat)
Lineage: Eukaryota; Viridiplantae; Streptophyta; Magnoliopsida; Poales; Poaceae
Description: partial small subunit ribosomal RNA
Source: RNAcentral
AUGCCGUCGACCUUUGAUCAAGAUCAGACGGCCUUCAUGCAUGAUCAGGUCGGCCUGGACCUGGACGGCUUCCCACUCAACCACGAGUUUUCGGAGGACUACAUGCAAGAGGAAGAGGACGAGCGCGACAUUGAAAGGGAGCCUUUGUUCAAGGACGAGCUCACCAACGAAGCCGUCGAGGUGAAGCCGAAGCAGAAAAGCAAGCGGAACAAGGCAUAUACGGCAGCCGAGGACAAGCUUAUUUGUGAGUGUUCGAGAGACAUUGGGCAUGACCCCAAGACUAGCUUUGAACAAAACCAUUCAACUUUUUGGAUUCGUGUCCACCGUGAGUUCCAUGAGUGCAAGAAGUUUCCGCCGUACCAAAUAGUAAGCAUGCGCGGGUGGGUGUCCAUUUCGAAGCGAUGGAGGAUGAGCCAAUAA